This 305-nucleotide ribosomal RNA is filed under the name uncultured bacterium. RNAcentral's name for it is "bacterial SSU rRNA". It matches the Rfam family "Bacterial small subunit ribosomal RNA", at positions 338 to 660 of the family's 1533-position model. The record is from RNAcentral.
CCUACGGGAGGCAGCAGUGGGGAAUAUUGCACAAUGGGGGAAACCCUGAUGCAGCGACGCCGCGUGAGUGAAGAAGUAUUUCGGUAUGUAAAGCUCUAUCAGCAGGGAAGAAAAUGACGGUACCCAAAGAGGAAGCCCCGGCUAACUACGUGCCAGCAGCCGCGGUAAUACGUAGGGGGCAAGCGUUAUCCGGAUUUACUGGGUGUAAAGGGAGCGUAGACGGCAGCGCAAGUCUGGAGUGAAAUGCCGGGGCCCAACCCCGGAACUGCUCUGGAAACUGUGAAGCUGGAGUGCAGGAGAGGUAA